CUACGGGUCGCACCAGUGAGGAAUAUUGCACAAUGGGGGGAACCCUGAUGCAGCAACGCCGCGUGGAGGAUGACGCAUUUCGGUGUGUAAACUCCUUUUAUAUGUCAAGAAAAUGACGGUAGCAUAUGAAUAAGCACCGGCUAACUCCGUGCCAGCAGCCGUGGUAAUACGGAGGGUGCAAGCGUUACUCGGAAUCACUGGGCGUAAAGGACGCGUAGGCGGGUUGGAAAGUCAGGUGUGAAAUCCUACAGCUUAACUGUAGAACUGCACUUGAAACUUCUAAUCUAGAGUAUGGGAGGGGGAGAUGGAAUUAGUGGUGGAGGGGUAAAAUCCGUAGAUAUCACUAGGAAUACCUAAAGCGAAGGCGAUCUCCUGGAACAUUACUGACGCUAAGGCGUGAAAGCGUGGGGAGCAAACAGGAUUAGAUACCCGCAGUAGUC
RNAcentral lists this ribosomal RNA (440 nucleotides) under uncultured bacterium. Its description in RNAcentral is "partial 16S ribosomal RNA". It matches the Rfam family "Bacterial small subunit ribosomal RNA", at positions 339 to 795 of the family's 1533-position model. The record is from RNAcentral.